UACGUAGGGACCAAGCGUUGUUCGGAUUUACUGGGCGUAAAGGGCGCGUAGGCGGCAAAUUAAGUCAUCUGUGAAAUCUCCGAGCUUAACUCGGAACGGUCAGGUGAUACUGAUCUGCUAGAGUGCGGAAGGGGCAAUCGGAAUUCUUGGUGUAGCGGUGAAAUGCGUAGAUAUCAAGAGGAACACCUGCGGCGAAGGCGGGUUGCUGGGCCGACACUGACGCUGAGGCGCGAAAGCGUGGGGAGCGAACAGG
RNAcentral lists this ribosomal RNA (253 nucleotides) under uncultured bacterium. RNAcentral's name for it is "partial 16S ribosomal RNA". It matches the Rfam family "Bacterial small subunit ribosomal RNA", at positions 524 to 776 of the family's 1533-position model. The record is from RNAcentral.